UGGGGAAUUUUGGACAAUGGGCGAAAGCCUGAUCCAGCAAUGCCGCGUGUGUGAAGAAGGCCUUCGGGUUGUAAAGCACUUUUGUCCGGAAAGAAAUCCUUGGCUCUAAUACAGUCGGGGGAUGACGGUACCGGAAGAAUAAGCACCGGCUAACUACGUGCCAGCAGCCGCGGUAAUACGUAGGGUGCAAGCGUUAAUCGGAAUUACUGGGCGUAAAGCGUGCGCAGGCGGUUUGCUAAGACCGAUGUGAAAUCCCCGGGCUCAACCUGGGAACUGCAUUGGUGACUGGCAGGCUAGAGUAUGGCAGAGGGGGGUAGAAUUCCACGUGUAGCAGUGAAAUGCGUAGAGAUGUGGAGGAAUACCGAUGGCGAAGGCAGCCCCCUGGGCCAAUACUGACGCUCAUGCACGAAAAGCGUGGGGAGCAAAACAGGAUUAGAUACCCUGGUAGUCCACGCCCUAAAACGAUGUCAACUAGUUGUUGGGGGAUUCAUUUCCUUAGUAACGUAGCUAACGCGUGAAGUUGACCGCCUGGGGAGUACGGUCGCAAGAUUAAAACUUAAAUGAAUUGACGGGGUCAUAGCUGUUUCCU
Molecule: ribosomal RNA, 589 nt
Filed under: uncultured bacterium
Lineage: Bacteria
Description: partial 16S ribosomal RNA
Rfam family: Bacterial small subunit ribosomal RNA
Source: RNAcentral